This 468-nucleotide ribosomal RNA is filed under the name uncultured bacterium. Its description in RNAcentral is "partial 16S ribosomal RNA". It matches the Rfam family "Bacterial small subunit ribosomal RNA", at positions 28 to 507 of the family's 1533-position model. The record is from RNAcentral.
GACGAACGCUGGCGGCGUGCUUAACACAUGCAAGUCGAACGGAGAGGCCCUGCUCUUGUGGGGUGCUCAAGUGGCGAACGCGUGAGUAACACGUGAGUAACCUGCCCUUUACUGCGGGAUAACUUCAGGAAACUCGAGUUAAUACCGCAUAUAAGCACCUUCUACAUGGUGUUUGUUGUUAAGUUUCGGAGGUUGGGCAUGGACUCGCGGUUUAGCAUCGUGUUGGUUAGGUAGUGGCUUACCCAGGCUUUGACGCGUAGCCGGACUGAGAGGGUGACAGGCCCCAUUGGGACUGAGAUACGAGCAGGACUGAUACGGGAGGCAGCAGUGGGAAAUAGUGCAAACUGGGCGGAGGCAGGAUGCAGCAUCGUCGCAUGCGAGAUCACGGCCUUCGGGUUAUAACCCGGUUUAGCCUGUGACGAAGAGUGAGUGACGGUAAUGGGUAAAGAAGCAACGGCUAACUACGUG